RNAcentral lists this ribosomal RNA (1346 nucleotides) under uncultured bacterium. RNAcentral describes it as "partial 16S ribosomal RNA". It matches the Rfam family "Bacterial small subunit ribosomal RNA", at positions 28 to 1381 of the family's 1533-position model. The record is from RNAcentral.
GACGAACGCUGGCGGCGUGCUUAACACAUGCAAGUCGAACGGAAAGGCCCUGCUUUUGUGGGGUGCUCGAGUGGCGAACGGGUGAGUAACACGUGAGUAACCUGCCCUUGACUUUGGGAUAACUUCAGGAAACUGGGGCUAAUACCGGAUAGGAGCUCCUGCUGCAUGGUGGGGGUUGGAAAGUUUCGGCGGUUGGGGAUGGACUCGCGGCUAUCCAGCUUGUUGGUGGGGUAGUGGCUUACCAAGGCUUUGACGGGUAGCCGGCCUGAGAGGGUGACCGGCCACAUUGGGACUGAGAUACGGCCCAGACUCCUACGGGAGGCAGCAGUGGGGAAUAUUGCACAAUGGGCGGAAGCCUGAUGCAGCAACGCCGCGUGCGGGAUGACGGCCUUCGGGUUGUAAACCGCUUUCGCCUGUGACGAAGCGUGAGUGACGGUAAUGGGUAAAGAAGCACCGGCUAACUACGUGCCAGCAGCCGCGGUGAUACGUAGGGUGCGAGCGUUGUCCGGAUUUAUUGGGCGUAAAGGGCUCGUAGGUGGUUGAUCGCGUCGGAAGUGUAAUCUUGGGGCUUAACCCUGAGCGUGCUUUCGAUACGGGUUGACUUGAGGAAGGUAGGGGAGAAUGGAAUUCCUGGUGGAGCGGUGGAAUGCGCAGAUAUCAGGAGGAACACCAGUGACGAAGGCGGUUCUCUGGGCCUUUCCUGACGCUGAGGAGCGAAAGCGUGGGGAGCGAACAGGCUUAGAUACCCUGGUAGUCCACGCUGUAAACGGUGGGUACUAGGUGUGGGGUCCAUUCCACGGGUUCCGUGCCGUAGCUAACGCUUUAAGUACCCCGCCUGGGGAGUACGGCCGCAAGGCUAAAACUCAAAGGAAUUGACGGGGCCCCGCACAAGCGGCGGAGCAUGCGGAUUAAUUCGAUGCAACGCGUAGAACCUUACCUGGGUUUGACAUGGAUCGGGAGUGCUCAGAGAUGGGUGUGCCUCUUUUGGGGUCGGUUCACAGGUGGUGCAUGGCUGUCGUCAGCUCGUGUCGUGAGAUGUUGGGUUAAGUCCCGCAACGAGCGCAACCCUUGUUCACUGUUGCCAGCACGUUAUGGUGGGGACUCAGUGGAGACCGCCGGGGUCAACUCGGAGGAAGGUGGGGAUGACGUCAAGUCAUCAUGCCCCUUAUGUCCAGGGCUUCACGCAUGCUACAAUGGCUGGUACAGAGAGUGGCGAGCCUGUGAGGGUGAGCGGAUCUCGGAAAGCCGGUCUCAGUUCGGAUUGGGGUCUGCAACUCGACCUCAUGAAGUCGGAGUCGCUAGUAAUCGCAGAUCAGCAACGCUGCGGUGAAUACGUUCCCGGGGCU